Molecule: long non-coding RNA, 288 nt
Organism: Apis dorsata (giant honeybee)
Lineage: Eukaryota; Metazoa; Arthropoda; Insecta; Hymenoptera; Apidae
Exons: 2
Source: RefSeq, a predicted model, not a curated record
GUUUGCUGCCGUAAUUUAAGAAUAUGUACAUUGGACACAGACCGCACUAUAUCUGGAAUCUAAGAAAAUAAUAUUUAUACAUAGAUUAAUUUCGCUUUUUAUUAGAUUUUAUUUUGAUAUUAUUUACUUGAAGUAACAGUCUUUCAUCAGAAAAUAUAACAGCUUGUGUCCAAUCAAUUCGUUCGUGAAAAGGAAGUGCCCAACCAUUACUUAAAAUAACUGGAAUGCAUCCAGCUCUUAAAGCUUCUAAAAAUCGAAAACUACCAAGUCUUCUUCCUCUUGGUACAA